RNAcentral lists this ribosomal RNA (468 nucleotides) under uncultured Desulfobulbus sp. Its description in RNAcentral is "bacterial SSU rRNA". It matches the Rfam family "Bacterial small subunit ribosomal RNA", at positions 920 to 1382 of the family's 1533-position model. Lineage: Bacteria; Pseudomonadati; Thermodesulfobacteriota; Desulfobulbia; Desulfobulbales; Desulfobulbaceae. The record is from RNAcentral.
CCCGCACAAGCGGUGGAGUAUGUGGUUUAAUUCGAUGCAACGCGAAGAACCUUACCUGGCCUUGACAUCCCGGGAAUUUCCUGGAAACAGGAGAGUGCUUUCAUUAGAGAGAACCUGGAGACAGGUGCUGCAUGGCUGUCGUCAGCUCGUGUCGUGAGAUGUUGGGUUAAGUCCCGCAACGAGCGCAACCCUUGCCUUUAGUUGCCAGCAGUUCGGCUGGGCACUCUAAAGGGACUGCCGGUGUCAAACCGGAGGAAGGUGGGAUGACGUCAAGUCCUCAUGGCCUUUAUGGCCAGGGCUACACACGUACUACAAUGGCCGGUACAAAGGGCAGCGACAUUGCGAGAUGGAGCGAAUCCCGAAAAGCCGGUCUCAGUCCGGAUUGGAGGCUGCAACUCGCCUGCAUGAAGCCGGAAUCGCUAGUAAUCGCGGAUCAGCAUGCCGCGGUCGAAUACGUUCCCGGGCCUU